AAGUGAAACAUCUCAGUACCCUUAGGAAAAGAAAUCAAUUGAGAUUCCCUCAGUAGCGGCGAGCGAACGGGGAUCAGCCCAUUAAGUUAUGUGUGUUUUAGUGGAACGCUCUGGGAAGUGCGAACGUAGAGGGUGAUAUUCCCGUACACGAAAGGGCACACAUAAUGAUGACGAGUAGGGCGAGGCACGUGAAACCUUGUCUGAAUAUGGGGGGACCAUCCUCCAAGGCUAAAUACUCCUGACUGACCGAUAGUGAACCAGUACCGUGAGGGAAAGGCGAAAAGAACCCCUGUGAGGGGAGUGAAAUAGAUCCUGAAACCGCAUGCAUACAAGCAGUGGGAGCACCUUCGUGGUGUGACUGCGUACCUUUUGUAUAAUGGGUCAGCGACUUAUAUUCAGUAGCGAGGUUAACCGUAUAGGGGAGCCGUAGAGAAAUCGAGUCUUAAUAGGGCGUUUAGUUGCUGGGUAUAGACCCGAAACCAGGCGAUCUAUCCAUGAGCAGGUUGAAGGUUGGGUAACACUAACUGGAGGACCGAACCCACUGUCGUUGAAAAGCCAGGGGAUGACUUGUGGAUAGGGGUGAAAGGCUAAUCAAGCCUGGUGAUAGCUGGUUCUCCCCGAAAGCUAUUUAGGUAGCGCCUCGGACGAAUACCAUAGGGGGUAGAGCACUGUUUCGGCUAGGGGGUCAUCCCGACUUACCAAACCGAUGCAAACUCCGAAUACCUAUGAGUACUAUCCGGGAGACAGACUGCGGGUGCUAACGUCCGUAGUCAAGAGGAAAACAAUCCAGACCGCCAGCUAAGGCCCCAAAAUCAUAGUUAAGUGGGAAACGAUGUGGGAAGGCAUAGACAGCUAGGAGGUUGGCUUAGAAGCAGCCACCCUUUAAAGAAAGCGUAAUAGCUCACUAGUCGAGUCGGCCUGCGCGGAAGAUGUAACGGGGCUAAAACUAUGUGCCGAAGCUGCGGAUGUAUACUUUGUAUACGUGGUAGGGGAGCGUUCUGUAAGCCGAUGAAGGUGUGUUGAGAAGCAUGCUGGAGGUAUCAGAAGUGCGAAUGCUGACGUGAGUAACGACAAAACGGGUGAAAAACCCGUUCGCCGAAAGACCAAGGGUUCCAGUCCAACGUUAAUCGGGGCUGGGUGAGUCGACCCCUAAGGCGAGGCCGAAAGGCGUAGUCGAUGGGAAAAUGGUUAAUAUUCCAUUACUUCUGUGUAAUGCGAUGAGAGGACGGAGAAGGCUAAAUCAGCCUGGCGUUGGUUGUCCAGGUGAAAGGAUGUAGGCAUGUAUCUUAGGCAAAUCCGGGGUACUCUAUGCUGAGAUCUGAUAGCAAGCUGUACUUGUACAGCGAAGUGGUUGAUGCCAUGCUUCCAGGAAAAGUCUCUAAGCUUCAGUUACACAGGAAUCGUACCCGAAACCGACACAGGUGGUCAGGUCGAGUAGACCAAGGCGCUUGAGAGAACUCUGCUGAAGGAACUAGGCAAAAUGGUACCGUAACUUCGGGAGAAGGUACGCUGUUGUUGGUGAUGGAACUCGCUUCCUGAGCUGACGACAGCCGCAGAAACCAGGCCGCUGCAACUGUUUAUUAAAAACAUAGCACUCUGCAAACACGAAAGUGGACGUAUAGGGUGUGAUGCCUGCCCGGUGCUGGAAGGUUAAUUGAUGGGGUUAGCGUAAGCGAAGCUCUUGAUCGAAGCCCCAGUAAACGGCGGCCGUAACUAUAACGGUCCUAAGGUAGCGAAAUUCCUUGUCGGGUAAGUUCCGACCUGCACGAAUGGCAUAAUGAUGGCGGCGCUGUCUCCAGCAGAGGCUCAGUGAAAUCGAAAUCGCUGUGAAGAUGCAGUGUACCCGCGGCUAGACGGAAAGACCCCGUGAACCUUUACUGCAGCUUGACACUGAACUUUGACCUUACUUGUGUAGGAUAGGUGGGAGGCUUUGAAGCUGGAACGCUAGUUCCAGUGGAGCCGUCCUUGAAAUACCACCCUGGUAAUGUUGAGGUUCUAACUCUGUCCCGUGAUCCGGGACGAGGACCGUGUCUGGUGGGUAGUUUGACUGGGGCGGUCUCCUCCUAAAGAGUAACGGAGGAGUACGAAGGUGCGCUCAGCGUGGUCGGAAAUCACGCGUAGAGUAUAAAGGCAAAAGCGCGCUUAACUGCGAGACCCACAAGUCGAGCAGGUACGAAAGUAGGUCUUAGUGAUCCGGUGGUUCUGUAUGGAAGGGCCAUCGCUCAACGGAUAAAAGGUACUCUGGGGAUAACAGGCUGAUACCGCCCAAGAGUUCAUAUCGACGGCGGUGUUUGGCACCUCGAUG
RNAcentral lists this ribosomal RNA (2305 nucleotides) under Acinetobacter baumannii. RNAcentral describes it as "partial 23S ribosomal RNA". It matches the Rfam family "Bacterial large subunit ribosomal RNA", at positions 191 to 2531 of the family's 2925-position model. Lineage: Bacteria; Pseudomonadati; Pseudomonadota; Gammaproteobacteria; Moraxellales; Moraxellaceae. The record is from RNAcentral.